AUGAAUAAAGUUCCUGAUUUUAAUUCAAAAAAGGGGCACAAAACUUGUGUGUUUUCGACAAAAAAUCUACAUGUGCACAAGGAGCAUGGACAUGAACAUGUGUCACUUUUUUUUUCCAGAACAUAUCUAGUGAUCAACCCUCAAUUGCUUGGGGAAAUGGUGUUUUCGCCUACUUGUUAUCAGUUGGAUCAGGUAAACUUGCAGCAAGAAAUGUAUGGAAGAGUUAGUAAUGGUUUAACCAAAAGUCCUACAUUAUUGGAAGCUUGGUGUCAAAUUCUCAAAAGAAAAAACAAAAGCAAAACCACUCGAAAAAUCCUCAAAAGAAAAAAGACGAAAAGAGGAACCUUUACAAACAUGUUCCCUGCAAGCCUGCAUUUUAUUUUAUAA
Molecule: ribosomal RNA, 387 nt
Filed under: Triticum aestivum (bread wheat)
Lineage: Eukaryota; Viridiplantae; Streptophyta; Magnoliopsida; Poales; Poaceae
Description: partial small subunit ribosomal RNA
Source: RNAcentral